UACAGAGGUGGCAAGCGUUGUUCGGAAUUACUGGGCGUAAAGGGCGCGUAGGCGGUCCGAUAAGUCGGCUGUGAAAGUCAGGGGCUCAACCCUUGGAAGCCGGCCGAUACUGUCGGACUAGAGUCCGGAAGAGGCGAGUGGAAUUCCCGGUGUAGCGGUGAAAUGCGCAGAUAUCGGGAGGAACACCAAUGGCGAAGGCAGCUCGCUGGGACGGUACUGACGCUGAGGCGCGAAAGCGUGGGGAGCAAACAGG
Molecule: ribosomal RNA, 253 nt
Filed under: uncultured bacterium
Lineage: Bacteria
Description: partial 16S ribosomal RNA
Rfam family: Bacterial small subunit ribosomal RNA
Source: RNAcentral